CUCCCUCUCCACCUGAGAAAUUUCAGUUCUGAAGCUAGAUCCUCACUCUGUAACUCAGCUUUCAUCUCUGCUUGCCACAGCAUCAGCCCACUCUCUUGGAUCCUAGAAAAGCAAAUUCAUCUUUCCAUCUGGUCCUCUUCAUCUCCUUAUUGAAUAGGUAGCAUUUGCCUCAGAUGGCUCGCCCCGUACUGAAGAACAACAUGUUUCACACUGCACGGAGAGUCGCAAAAGGCCUUAUUUCCAUCAGUGAAUCAUGUAAACUGGCUCUCCUGCUGCAAACCUACUCUGCUCGCCUGUGUUGGCUGCGGGGCUCCCCGGGGGAAGCCUGGGUAAAUGAGCAAGUGUGAAGUGCAGUGCCACAGCCUUCUGCACUUCCUUUCUCCCAAGUGCUAAAAAUAAUAUCUCAUUUGUAAAUAAAGCAGCUCCCAGACUAUUUUUAUAGUCCUUUGGAGAUGCGUUGGAUGAACAAGCCCACAUCCUGCUUUCCUCCUGCACCCCAGGUCACACCCAGCACAGGCAGCUGCUGCACUAGCUGUGUCAGAUCGCAGCAUGCAGCCGGCAUGUUUCCAUCCUGCUCUGGAGCAGCCACCCUCUCUAAUGAGAGCAGCUUUCAUUCCAGCUGAGUUCCCAGUUUCUCUCCCACUACCAACAGGACCUGCAUGCAAGCAGCUUCUGAUCAUCACAGAGAGGACACCCAUCUGCAAGGGCUUGUUCCCAGCAGGCUUAUGGACAGUGUGAGCACUCCUGAAGACCAGGCAGUGAAAGGCAAACAGCAGGUCUGCAGAGGAUUUGGCACAAUGAAGCUGUGAGCAAGGCUUUACCACCAAGCCAUAAACUGCUCCCACAGCAUACCCUGGCUGUCUAAUGGCGCACCUAAUAGACUGAGUGAGUACACAUGGAUUCACUGACUUGAGAAUCUCUGUCAUUAUUAUGAAUGCACCGAAUGAGGUAGAAGCUCAGGCUCUGCAAGGCAAAGUAGAUAAAAUAACAUUAAGAUCUAAUCUUCUCCAGAUUCCUACAAGCCUCUGGGAGGAUGUGGGAUUCAUGAUGGGUUUUUAUUUUCCGAUACAUUUCUAGUCAUACUUCUGUUGUCUCCUAUGACGCACAUAUAUGAUGUUUCUGCCUCCUCCACCAUACAAAAAAAGAGAGAGAAAGAGAGUGAGAGAGAAAGUGAACUGGGGGGAGUCCAAUUACUGGAACUUAAUUAAAACAAUUUAAAAAUGACUUAAGCAAUUAUCUAACAAGUGAUCUCUUUGGUAGCAGCUGUACACAGGCAAUUUAUUAGUUAGUGAGGCCAGCCCUGUUUUUUUUUAAUACAAACAGACUAAUUAAUCGGUGGUUAACUCUUGUAAUGACCAACUCUGGCAUUUAAUUAUUGCUGCUGUCAUCAAGCAUAAUCACUUCUUUCCCAGGGUUAUUAUACCAACUGCCAACAGUGACCAGUCCGUGUGAAGUUUAAAGUGCUUUCCCAAAUUGUCUCUCAUUUCCACAUCCUCUGGACUUGUUUAGAGCACACGUUUUUCCCAGUGUGAAAGGUUCCACCCAGCUUUUUAGCUCGGUGCCAAAUUUCCAGGAAUGCUGAGAAUUUUCUGGGAAGAAAAUCUUCCCAGCUCUUCCAUGCUUUAGUUGCUGGAGCGGGAAAGGAGAAGGAAAAAGUAUUUAUUUCCCACAUUAGAAAUCAUACAAUGAUAGAACCAUAGAAAGGCUGGAAGGUUAGAAGAGACCUCAAAGAUCACCUUGUUCCAUCCCCCUGCCAUGGACAGGGCUGUCACCCAUCAGAUCAGGCUGCCCAGGGCCCCAUCCAAACUGGGCUUGUACACCUUCAAGGAUGGGGCAUCCACAACCCUCCAAAGGAAGCACAAGCAUUAGGUAAGGCACAACAAAUCUCAGAGGUGAACCUGCUUGCCUAGAAGGCCCAUCUGUGACCACUGAACAGGUGCAGAGUGCUGACCCAGUGUAAGCUGUGUGCUUACGCUGCGAUUACCCAGUCCUGUGCACAUUUCUGGGAGUUAAAGAUUUUGUAACAGAUUUAAUAAACCUGAAAUGCCCGGCA
This 2053-nucleotide long non-coding RNA is filed under the name Coturnix japonica (Japanese quail). RNAcentral describes it as "lncRNA (ENSCJPG00005003868.1)". The record is from RNAcentral. Lineage: Eukaryota; Metazoa; Chordata; Aves; Galliformes; Phasianidae.